UGCUUUGUAACAAGUGACAUGACGUCAGACAAGGCGGCACAACUCUUCAAUAUUUGCUUACAAACUAACGAUAAAGAACAUUUAUAUUAUCAUCUGUGCCAGUGGAAAUGUUUACAUUUCAGCCUACAAUAAUUCCACUUCCAAAUACAGCAAAUGCUUUGGGCACCAGUUCUAUUGGCAGCAAAACAGGCCCAGAGCAUAAUACUACCUGUGGAGGGGGGGCGUGGCCUGCGGGCCUGCCGCGGAACGGGGUGUGCUAGGACCGGCCUCGAAGACAGCGACAGCAGCAGCCGGAACGAGACACAGGGUUGGAGAUGGAGUGGGAGCCAGAGAGGGACAGAGACACAGACUCAGAAAAAUACAUUUUGCUGGAAAGCAAAGCCUUGCACUAUUUAUGAAAAUAAAACCGUGUUGUACCCUGAAAUCCGGGCUCUCGUGGCAGUGUUUGGUGGUCCGAGGAACCCACUAGAGGGCAACUUCUACACUACCUUUUUAUCAUUCCUUUACACUACAUUAUUUUGAAACUAUUACUGUAUAUUUUUUACCUUUUUUCCACCAUUAUUUGUAUUGCUAUUUUGAGUAUUAUUUUUUAUAAUUAUAAUAAUUAAUUUUAAUGAUACAUAUGACUUUUAAAUUUUGUUUUAGCAAUAUUACUAUGCUUUUUCGAAAUGAUUCAGCAUUCUCAUUUUUCUAGUGUAGUAUUAAA
Molecule: long non-coding RNA, 706 nt
Organism: Entelurus aequoreus (snake pipefish)
Lineage: Eukaryota; Metazoa; Chordata; Actinopteri; Syngnathiformes; Syngnathidae
Exons: 3
Source: RefSeq, a predicted model, not a curated record